Molecule: ribosomal RNA, 496 nt
Filed under: uncultured bacterium
Lineage: Bacteria
Description: partial 16S ribosomal RNA
Rfam family: Bacterial small subunit ribosomal RNA
Source: RNAcentral
AUGAACGCUGGCGGCGUGCCUAAUACAUGCAAGUCGAGCGAACGGACGAGAAGCUUGCUUCUCUGAUGUUAGCGGCGGACGGGUGAGUAACACGUGGAUAACCUACCUAUAAGACUGGGAUAACUUCGGGAAACCGUAGCUAAUACCGGAUAAUAUUUUGAACCGCAUGGUUCAAAAGUGAAAGACGGUCUUGCUGUCACUUAUAGAUGGAUCCGCGCUUCAUUAGCUAGUUGGUAAGGUAACGGCUUACCAAGGCAACGAUGCAUAGCCGACCUGAGAGGGUGAUCGGCCACACUGGAACUGAGACACGGUCCAGACUCCUACGGGAGGCAGCAGUAGGGAAUCUUCCGCAAUGGGCGAAAGCCUGACGGAGCAACGCCGCGUGAGUGAUGAAGGUCUUCGGAUCGUAAAACUCUGUUAUUAGGGAAGAACAUAUGUGUAAGUAACUGUGCACAUCUUGACGGUACCUAAUCAGAAAGCCACGGCUAACUACGUG